RNAcentral lists this ribosomal RNA (470 nucleotides) under uncultured bacterium. RNAcentral's name for it is "bacterial SSU rRNA". It matches the Rfam family "Bacterial small subunit ribosomal RNA", at positions 28 to 507 of the family's 1533-position model. The record is from RNAcentral.
GAUGAACGCUGGCGGCGUGCCUAAUACAUGCAAGUCGAACGAGGCCCUCUUCCUUCGGGAGGAGGUGUCCUAGUGGCGAACGGGUGAGUAUCACGUUGGUGACCUACCCCGAAGAGGGGGACAACCCCGGGAAACUGGGGCUAAUACCCCAUGUGAUCCUAAGGACUAGAUGCCUAAGGAUGAAAUGGAGCAAUUCGCUUCGGGAGGGGCCUGCGGCCUAUCAGCUAGUUGGUGAGGUAAUGGCUCACCAAGGCGACGACGGGUAGGGGACCUGAGAGGGUGACCCCCCACACUGGAACUGAAACACGGGCCAGACACCUACGGGUGGCAGCAGUAGGGAAUAUUGCACAAUAGGCGAAAGCCUGAUGCAGCAACGCCGCGUGCGCGAUGAAGGCCUUCGGGUUGUAAAGCGCUUUUCUGGGGGACGAGAAAGGACGGUACCCCAGGAAUAAGUCUCGGCUAACUACGUG